Molecule: transfer RNA, 76 nt
Filed under: Candidatus Amesbacteria bacterium RBG_16_48_31
Lineage: Bacteria; Candidatus Amesiibacteriota
Also listed under: 6 other names
Description: tRNA-Val
Rfam family: tRNA
About the family: Transfer RNA (tRNA) molecules are approximately 80 nucleotides in length. Their secondary structure includes four short double-helical elements and three loops (D, anti-codon, and T loops).
Source: RNAcentral
GGUCGCUUAGCUCAGCUGGCAGAGCAUCGCUUUUACACAGCGGGGGUCGGGGGUUCGAAUCCCUCAGCGACCACAA